Molecule: RNase P RNA, 375 nt
Filed under: Candidatus Omnitrophota bacterium
Lineage: Bacteria; Pseudomonadati; Candidatus Omnitrophota
Description: Candidatus Omnitrophica bacterium RNase P RNA component class A
Rfam family: Bacterial RNase P class A
About the family: Ribonuclease P (RNase P) is a ubiquitous endoribonuclease, found in archaea, bacteria and eukarya as well as chloroplasts and mitochondria. Its best characterised activity is the generation of mature 5'-ends of tRNAs by cleaving the 5'-leader elements of precursor-tRNAs.
Source: RNAcentral
AGCAGGCAGAGUGUGGCUGCCCUAUGUAAGUAGGGAGGAAAGUCCGGGCUCCGGAGGAUAACGUAACGGGUAAUCCCCGUCCUUGUUGAAUAAACAUGCGGAUUAGAGCCACAGAGACGAGUAACAGCUAAAAGGCUGUGAGGUGAAACGCGGUAAUCUCUGCGUGGAGCAAUGUAGAAUAGGAGAUGAGCCUUGUAAGUCGCUUAAAGCGACAUAUGAGUCGCGUGCUGAUCCGGCGCGCUUUCCGUUUGACGGGAAAUAAUCUCGGGUAAACUGCUAAAGUUAGCGUGGUAACGCGCUGAUUGAGAGGAAUAGCCACUAAUCGAUGCGCAAACUCGCAUCAAGACAGAACCCGGCUUAUUCUGCCUGCUUUAU